Molecule: transfer RNA, 73 nt
Filed under: Planctomycetota bacterium
Lineage: Bacteria; Pseudomonadati; Planctomycetota
Description: Planctomycetes bacterium (freshwater metagenome) tRNA-Arg
Rfam family: tRNA
About the family: Transfer RNA (tRNA) molecules are approximately 80 nucleotides in length.
Source: RNAcentral
GUCCCCGUAGCGCAAUGGAUAGAGCGUCAGCCUCCGGAGCUGAAGGUUGCAGGUUCGAGUCCUGCCGGGGACG